RNAcentral lists this ribosomal RNA (377 nucleotides) under uncultured bacterium. Its description in RNAcentral is "partial 16S ribosomal RNA". It matches the Rfam family "Bacterial small subunit ribosomal RNA", at positions 523 to 900 of the family's 1533-position model. The record is from RNAcentral.
AUACGUAGGGGGCAAGCGUUGUCCGGAAUUACUGGGCGUAAAGCGCACGCAGGCUGACUUAUAAGUCGGUAGUCUAAUGCGGAGGCUCAACUUCCGUUUAUCUAUCGGUACUGUAAGACUAGAGUAUGUGAGAGGGAAGUGGAAUUCCCGGUGUAGCGGUGAAAUGCGUAGAUAUCGGGAGGAAAACCAGUGGCGAAGGCGACUUCCUGGCACAAUACUGACGCUCAUGUGCGAAAGCUAGGGUAGCGAACGGGAUUAGAUACCCCGGUAGUCCUAGCCGUAAACGAUGGAUACUAGGUGUGGGUGUCGCAGGGCAUCCGUGCCGCAGUUAACGCGUUAAGUAUCCCGCCUGGGGACUACGGUCGCAAGACUGAAAC